GAGAGUUUGAUCCUGGCUCAGAACGAACGCUGGCGGCGUGCUUAACACAUGCAAGUCGAGUGCGCGGUUGUAGCAAUACAACUGGCGCACGGCGCACGGGUGCGUAACACGUGGGCAAUCUGCCCUUCGAUGGGGAAUAACUCCGGGAAACCGAAGCUAAUUCCGCAUAAUAUUCCUUGGACUUCGGUUCGAGGACUCAAAGCCGUAAGGCGUCGAAGGAGGAGCCCGCGCCCGAUUAGCUAGUUGGUGAGGUAACGGCUCACCAAGGCAAUGAUCGGUAGCUGGUCUGAGAGGAUGGCCAGCCACACUGGAACUGAGACACGGUCCAGACUCCUACGG
Molecule: ribosomal RNA, 339 nt
Filed under: Acidobacteriota bacterium
Lineage: Bacteria; Pseudomonadati; Acidobacteriota
Description: bacterial SSU rRNA
Rfam family: Bacterial small subunit ribosomal RNA
Source: RNAcentral